This is a long non-coding RNA of Falco peregrinus (peregrine falcon), 1644 nucleotides long. RefSeq lists it as uncharacterized. NCBI's taxonomy places the organism in Eukaryota, Metazoa, Chordata, Aves, Falconiformes, Falconidae. The transcript is spliced from 4 exons. The record is from RefSeq and is a predicted model, not a curated record.
GGGGAGCGCGGCGGCGGCGGCGGCGCCUAGUGCAGGUCCCACAUCUCGCAGAGCAGCGAGGAAGACCAAGAUUUGUCGAUAAAAUGCUCCAGUGCAUCGGAAGGCACAACGUGGAAGAAAGUAAAGACGCCAACAAAAAUCUCCUGCAACGAUCUCAGAAUUGCAUUUAGAUGCCACUCAGCCUGUCACAGAUGUUGCCUUUUUCCACCGGUCAAUUCCUCUGUGCAUUAUUACCUGUUCACUGCCAGUUUCUGGCAGCCAGCAUCCCACAGAGGGACUGCACCGAUCCUGAAAGUCUGAUAGAGCAGUGUUGGCCCUCAUCUCUCUUGCUUGUCUGUACUUGGCAUGAAAGGCCAGGAUGUCACCUCUGAAGCCAGGGAAAAGUGAAUAUAAAUGCACGGAACAGAACAGGCCAGAGGUUCAGACAACAAUCCAGGUGCAGCUUCUGAUGAAGUGUAGUGGUCCUUCACGCCGCACAGACGGGUUGCUCCUUCAGCCAGCUUCCUGGUAGAGGUGAACUGGGAGCUUCCAGCGCUUCGUUUCUACAUGGCUCAUCGAGUGCCUCCCCGCUGUAAAGCUGAAUCGAGUGGAGCCUUAGAGAUUGCAUGUUUCACCUCACAGAACUUGCUUAUGUUGAAUAAGGUGAAAAAGGGGAAGAUACCUGUAUCAUUCUCUGUAGCUGCAGCAGGCCUGCUCCUGCGGGGCUGCUCAAAGGCUCUGUGGGAAGGUGCUGGCAGAAGCAUUAAGGACAGCUACGGAAUUGGGAGCAUGAGCAGAGAGAGGCGACAGUGGGUGCAGAAUGCCACAGGUGGGGUCAUUUGAGGAUAUAAUAGUGGGGACAGAGUGUGACAGGGGAAACAAGCACAGGCUGCCACUUCAGGAUGGCAUGUCUAUCUUAUUACAGGGCAACCUUUUGCCAACUGGUUCCAUAACCAGAAUAGUAAACUUUGUCAGUUUUCCAGAUGUUCAUUUGGACAUCAUUCACCCGUUAUAAAAAAGGAAUUGUCAUAACGAGUUGUCUUAACUUUUUGGUGUGCUCUAAUAAGAAAAACAAGGAAGGACCGGAAGGUAAAAUGUGCUAUAGAGCAUGAGCUAGAUGUUUAGUGCCACACAAGUUACUAUAAACCAGCAUUACAUUUCCCAAAUGUGCAAAAUGUAUCUUACUCUACUAAUUGAUGUGAUUCUGAUUAAAUAGUCUAGAUGCAGCUGCUUACCCUAUUCUCUUCUGGAUCGUGUGAAUGUUUUGAAAUUGUUGCUUGUAUAAAAUCAUCAUAUCGGCACUUAUGCACUGUGAUUGAUUAUCUCUGGGAUCGUAAACUUUAUCUGAUAAGCAUCCUCGGGUUUUCCUAUGUGUCCUCUCUGAACAGGGAGUUAAACUGGAAAGAUGAGUUAAGUCAAAGGGAGUCCUGUUAAAACAUUAUUGUUGGUAGUAUGAACUGAGGAAGCUCCGGGGCACAAUGUUAAGCAAAGCAUCAAGGACGUGACAGAACACUGACAGUAGCUUCAGUGAGCAGAUAAAAGUUUCAAGGCAGCGAGUGCGCGCUGCGGAGCGCCAGCAGGGGAUGUUUGCUGCCCAGGGGCCACGCGGGAGCACCAGAUAAGGCGGCAGCUCCACGGGUCGCAGCCCCGCGUUAUCGCACACCG